AGAGUUUGAUCAUGGCUCAGAUUGAACGCUGGCGGCAGGCCUAACACAUGCAAGUCGAACGGUAACAGGAAGAAGCUUGCUUCUUUGCUGACGAGUGGCGGACGGGUGAGUAAUGUCUGGGAAACUGCCUGAUGGAGGGGGAUAACUACUGGAAACGGUAGCUAAUACCGCAUAACGUCGCAAGACCAAAGAGGGGGACCUUAGGGCCUCUUGCCAUCGGAUGUGCCCAGAUGGGAUUAGCUAGUAGGUGGGGUAAAGGCUCACCUAGGCGACGAUCCCUAGCUGGUCUGAGAGGAUGACCAGCCACACUGGAACUGAGACACGGUCCAGACUCCUACGGGAGGCAGCAGUGGGGAAUAUUGCACAAUGGGCGCAAGCCUGAUGCAGCCAUGCCGCGUGUAUGAAGAAGGCCUUCGGGUUGUAAAGUACUUUCAGCGGGGAGGAAGGGAGUAAAGUUAAUACCUUUGCUCAUUGACGUUACCCGCAGAAGAAGCACCGGCUAACUCCGUGCCAGCAGCCGCGGUAAUACGGAGGGUGCAAGCGUUAAUCGGAAUUACUGGGGCGUAAAGCGCACGCAGGCGGGUUUGUUAAGUCAGAUGUGAAAUCCCCGGGGCUCAACCUGGGGAACUGCAUCUGAUACUGGGCAAAGCUUGAGUCUCGUAGAGGGGGGGUAGAAUUCCAGGUGUAGCGGUGAAAUGCGUAGAGAUCUGGAGGAAUACCGGGUGGCGAAGGCGGCCCCCUGGACGAAGACUGAGGCUCAGGUGCGAAAGCGGGGGGAGCAGAACAGGAUUAGAAUACCC
Molecule: ribosomal RNA, 800 nt
Filed under: uncultured bacterium
Lineage: Bacteria
Description: bacterial SSU rRNA
Rfam family: Bacterial small subunit ribosomal RNA
Source: RNAcentral